GCGCGUCCUGGUGCAGGACACGGUCGUCGAGGCCGGCCACGACUGCGGUUCGGGCGUCGCGGACGGGCU
This 69-nucleotide transfer RNA is filed under the name Actinomadura citrea. Its description in RNAcentral is "tRNA-Leu". Lineage: Bacteria; Bacillati; Actinomycetota; Actinomycetes; Streptosporangiales; Thermomonosporaceae. The record is from RNAcentral.